CUACGGGGUGCAGCAGGCGCGAAAACUUUACAAUGCUGGCAACAGCGAUAAGGGAACCUCGAGUGCCAGGUUACAAAUCUGGCUGUCGAGAUGCCUAAAAAGCAUUUCAUAGCAAGGGCCGGGCAAGACCGGUGCCAGCCGCCGCGGUAACACCGGCGGCUCGAGUGGUAACCGUUAUUAUUGGGUAUAAAGGGUCUGUAGCCGGCCGGAUAAGUCUCUUGAGAAAUCUGGCAGCUUAACUGUCAGGCUUUCAGGAGAUACUGUCUGGCUCGAGGCCGGGAGAGGUGAGAGGUACUUCAGGGGUAGGGGUGAAAUCUUGUAAUCCUUGAAGGACCACCAGUGGCGAAGGCGUCUCACCAGAACGGACCUGACGGCAAGGGACGAAAGCUAGGGGCACGAACCGGAUUAGAUACCCGGGUAGUCCUAGCCGUAAACGAUACUCGCUAGGUGUCGGCCACGGUGCGACCGUUGUCGGUGCCGUAGGGAAGCCGUGAAGCGAGC
RNAcentral lists this ribosomal RNA (501 nucleotides) under uncultured archaeon. RNAcentral describes it as "bacterial SSU rRNA". It matches the Rfam family "Archaeal small subunit ribosomal RNA", at positions 323 to 824 of the family's 1478-position model. The record is from RNAcentral.